Non-coding RNA from Turicibacter sanguinis PC909, 173 nucleotides. Lineage: Bacteria; Bacillati; Bacillota; Erysipelotrichia; Erysipelotrichales; Turicibacteraceae. The record is from Rfam.
UGAUGAGUUAGAGGUGCAUGGCUAAAGAGUAGGAAUUUCGAGAGUGACGUCUAAGACAAAUUCUAAAAGGUAUCCAUGCCGAAGUGAAAAUAGUGUCCGCUAUUUUUUGCUGGGGUUAGAUUGAAGAAGUCUAACACUGUCACUGCCUAUGGUAGUGGAGAACUAAUGAUCGG